This 780-nucleotide ribosomal RNA is filed under the name uncultured bacterium. Its description in RNAcentral is "bacterial SSU rRNA". It matches the Rfam family "Bacterial small subunit ribosomal RNA", at positions 8 to 782 of the family's 1533-position model. The record is from RNAcentral.
AGAGUUUGAUCAUGGCUCAGAUUGAACGCUGGCGGCAUGCCUUACACAUGCAAGUCGAACGGUAACAGGUCUUUCGGGAUGCUGACGAGUGGCGAACGGGUGAGUAAUACAUCGGAACGUGCCUAGUAGUGGGGGAUAACUACUCGAAAGAGUGGCUAAUACCGCAUGAGAUCUAUGGAUGAAAGCAGGGGACCUUCGGGCCUUGUGCUACUAGAGCGGCCGAUGGCAGAUUAGGUAGUUGGUGGGAUAAAAGCUUACCAAGCCUACGAUCUGUAGCUGGUCUGAGAGGACGAUCAGCCACACUGGGACUGAGACACGGCCCAGACUCCUACGGGAGGCAGCAGUGGGGAAUUUUGGACAAUGGGCGCAAGCCUGAUCCAGCAAUGGCCGCGUGCAGGAUGAAGGCCUUCGGGUUGUAAACUGCUUUUGUACGGAACGAAAAGUCUUGGGUUAAUACCCUGGGAUCAUGACGGUACCGUAAGAAUAAGCACCGGCUAACUACGUGCCAGCAGCCGCGGUAAUACGUAGGGUGCAAGCGUUAAUCGGAAUUACUGGGCGUAAAGCGUGCGCAGGCGGUUUUGUAAGACAGUGGUGAAAUCCCCGGGCUCAACCUGGGAACUGCCAUUGUGACUGCAAGGCUGGAGUGCGGCAGAGGGGGAUGGAAUUCCGCGUGUAGCAGUGAAAUGCGUAGAUAUGCGGAGGAACACCGAUGGCGAAGGCAAUCCCCUGGGCCUGCACUGACGCUCAUGCACGAAAGCGUGGGGAGCAAACAGGAUUAGA